AACCUACGGGGGGCAGCAGUGGGGAAUAUUGCACAAUGGGGGGAACCCUGAUGCAGCGACGCCGCGUGGGCGAGGAAGUAUUUCGGUAUGUAAAGCCCUAUCGGCAGGGGAGAAGAAAUGACGGUACCUGAAUAAGAAGCACCGGCUAACUACGGGCCAGCAGCCGCGGUAAUACGUAGGGGGCAAGCGUUAUCCGGAUUUACUGGGUGUAAAGGGGGCGCAGACGGCCGCGCAAGCCAGGAGUGAAAGCCCGGGGCGCAACCACGGG
RNAcentral lists this ribosomal RNA (268 nucleotides) under uncultured bacterium. RNAcentral describes it as "partial 16S ribosomal RNA". It matches the Rfam family "Bacterial small subunit ribosomal RNA", at positions 335 to 619 of the family's 1533-position model. The record is from RNAcentral.